Molecule: ribosomal RNA, 497 nt
Filed under: uncultured bacterium
Lineage: Bacteria
Description: partial 16S ribosomal RNA
Rfam family: Bacterial small subunit ribosomal RNA
Source: RNAcentral
AAUGAACGCUGGCGGCGUGCCUAAUACAUGCAAGUCGAGCGAACGGACGAGAAGCUUGCUUCUCUGAUGUUAGCGGCGGACGGGUGAGUAACACGUGGAUAACCUACCUAUAAGACUGGGAUAACUUCGGGAAACCGGAGCUAAUGCCGGAUAAUAUUUUGAACCGCAUGGUUCAAAAGUGAAAGACGGUCUUGCUGUCACUUAUAGAUGGAUCCGCGCUGCAUUAGCUAGUUGGUAAGGUAACGGCUUACCAAGGCAACGAUGCAUAGCCGACCUGAGAGGGUGAUCGGCCACACUGGAACUGAGACACGGUCCAGACUCCUACGGGAGGCAGCAGUAGGGAAUCUUCCGCAAUGGGCGAAAGCCUGACGGAGCAACGCCGCGUGAGUGAUGAAGGUCUUCGGAUCGUAAAACUCUGUUAUUAGGGAAGAACAUAUGUGUAAGUAACUGUGCACAUCUUGACGGUACCUAAUCAGAAAGCCACGGCUAACUACGUG